GACCAAGGAGUCUAACAUGUAUGCGAGUCAUUGGGAUUUACUAAACCCAAAGGCAUAAUGAAAGUGAAGAUUUCCUUUUAGGAAAUUGAGGAGAGAUCAUGGCUUGGUGUGUAAUAUUCCGUAAGGUUUAUUGUACAAAGUAUGCGCAUCUCCUGGACGUCUUAACCUCUUGAAGGAAGGGCGUACCUAGAGCAUACACGUUGGGACCCGAAAGAUGGUGAACUAUGCCUGGUCAGAACGAAGUCAGGGGAAACCCUGAUGGAGGUUCGUAGCGAUUCUGACGUGCAAAUCGAUCGUCGGAACUGGGUAUAGGGGCGAAAGACUAAUCGAACCAUCUAGUAGCUGGUUCCCUCCGAAGUUUCCCUCAGGAUAGCUGGCGCUUGUAUGAACCAGUCUCAUCCGGUAGAGCGAAUGAUUAGAGGCAUUGGGAAAAAAGUUUUCUCGACCUAUUCUCAAACUCCCAAUGGGUGAGAUGUGCAGCUUGCUUGAAGUAUGAAGCUGUACAAUUUUGGAUGGUGAGUGCCAAGUGGGCCACUCUU
This 539-nucleotide ribosomal RNA is filed under the name Paraxenylla affiniformis. Its description in RNAcentral is "eukaryotic LSU rRNA". It matches the Rfam family "Eukaryotic large subunit ribosomal RNA", at positions 664 to 1138 of the family's 3401-position model. The record is from RNAcentral. Lineage: Eukaryota; Metazoa; Arthropoda; Collembola; Poduromorpha; Hypogastruridae.